GAGCGGCGAACGGGUGAGUAACACGUGAGUAACCUGCCCCUGACUCUGGGAUAAGCCCGGGAAACUGGGUCUAAUACCGGAUACGACACCUCCUGGCAUCGGGUGGGUGUGGAAAGUUUUUCGGUUGGGGAUGGACUCGCGGCCUAUCAGCUUGNUGGUGGGGUAAUGGCCUACCAAGGCGACGACGGGUAGCCGGCCUGAGAGGGCGACCGGCCACACUGGGACUGAGACACGGCCCAGACUCCUACGGGAGGCAGCAGUGGGGAAUAUUGCGCAAUGGGCGAAAGCCUGACGCAGCGACGCCGCGUGGGGGAUGACGGCCUUCGGGUUGUAAACCUCUUUCAGCAGGGACGAAGUUGACGUGUACCUGCAGAAGAAGCGCCGGCUAACUACGUGCCAGCAGCCGCGGUAAUACGUAGGGCGCAAGCGUUGUCCGGAAUUAUUGGGCGUAAAGAGCUCGUAGGUGGCUUGUCACGUCGGGUGUGAAAGCUUGGGGCUUAACUCCAGGUCUGCAUUCGAUACGGGCUGGCUAGAGGUAGGUAGGGGAGAACGGAAUUCCU
This 560-nucleotide ribosomal RNA is filed under the name Streptosporangium sp. 319B03. RNAcentral describes it as "bacterial SSU rRNA". It matches the Rfam family "Bacterial small subunit ribosomal RNA", at positions 93 to 671 of the family's 1533-position model. The record is from RNAcentral. RNAcentral also lists the same sequence under 2 other names. Lineage: Bacteria; Bacillati; Actinomycetota; Actinomycetes; Streptosporangiales; Streptosporangiaceae.